Long non-coding RNA from Manacus vitellinus (golden-collared manakin), 893 nucleotides. RefSeq lists it as uncharacterized. The transcript is spliced from 3 exons. The record is from RefSeq and is a predicted model, not a curated record. NCBI's taxonomy places the organism in Eukaryota, Metazoa, Chordata, Aves, Passeriformes, Pipridae.
ACUGCCAACAAAAUAACUUAUGGAGUAGUGUUUUCCCUGGAGACCUCACAUGAGUAACAACAGAAGAAAGUGUUUCCGGGAGAAUUAUCCUGGUUUAUAUUUAGCCUGGAUUGACCUAUUUCAGCGUGCAGUCAUAUGUACACCCUCCUACCUGGCCUCAUCCUCCCUGGGAGCUGCUGAGUGAGUGUUCCUGUGGUCACAGAAUGCAACAUGCACGGAGGAACCUCUAAUGAAAGACACCAGACAAAGAUUUUAUGUCUGACUGAUUCAAUAGGAAACCAAAAAAAUCAACAGUUACCUGGUUAAUGUGUAUUCCCUGAGUCCUGAGUGAAGGUUCAUGGCUGAGAAGGUCCCGAUGCAGCCACGAAGCCGCUUGUCUCGCCCCGUCUUCCACGUCACAAAGAGUGGACUGGAAAGGAAAAAAACAAAAGAAACCUUCCAGCCCCUAGGGAUAUUUGGCUGCUAAGAGGAGAGUACCAAGGUGUAAAAGAGCACAUGCACAUGCCCUUGCUUUCUCUCUCUCCAGUGAACCCCAAAAGGCAGGUUUGCUCACCUGCUGCCCAGCAAUGCCCAAACCUCGUGCCCACCCCCUGCCACACUCCAUCAUCUCCCUCCACCUUUUCAGCAUACUCACUCCUCUCCAGCAGUGCUCUGCAAGUCAUCCAUGGACACCUUCUUGGACAGAUUCUGCACUGAAUCUAAUGAGGGAUAUGGUUGUUUGACCCCACUGAGUACCUGUCAGUAUUGGCUGCACUUCACAGCAUCCACUAAUUUACAGGACAGCCCAUAUAAAAAUCAAUAUAGGUGAAGCAAAUAAGAUUAGUUACUUAUGGUACCAGUGAACCUGAAAGAUCCUCAGGCAUUCUGCAAUUCAUCUAUAAAUCAGAUUUGCA